Molecule: non-coding RNA, 24 nt
Filed under: Arabidopsis thaliana (thale cress)
Lineage: Eukaryota; Viridiplantae; Streptophyta; Magnoliopsida; Brassicales; Brassicaceae
Source: RNAcentral
AUCUGGUCAUGUGGUUAUGUCCGA